AACGAACGCUGGCGGCAGGCCUAAAACAUGCAAGUCGAACGCCCUAGCAAUAGGGAGUGGCGCACGGGUGAGUAACGCGUGGGAACGUGCCCUUCAGUACGGAACAACGUCGGGAAACUGACGCUAAUACCGUAUAAUAUCUCCGGAUCAAAGAUUUAUCGCUGAAGGAUCGGCCCGCGUCUGAUUAGCUAGUUGGUGAGGUAAUGGCUCACCAAGGCUACGAUCAGUAGCUGGUCUGAGAGGAUGAUCAGCCACACUGGGACUGAGACACGGCCCAGACUCCUACGGGAGGCAGCAGUUAGGAAUAUUGGACAAUGGGCGAAAGCCUGAUCCAGCCAUGCCGCGUGUGUGAUGAAGGCCUUAGGGUUGUAAAGCACUUUCGUUGGGGAUGAUAAUGACCGUACCCAAAGAAGAAGCCACGGCUAAAUUCGUGCCAGCCGCCGCCGUAA
Molecule: ribosomal RNA, 449 nt
Filed under: uncultured bacterium
Lineage: Bacteria
Description: partial 16S ribosomal RNA
Rfam family: Bacterial small subunit ribosomal RNA
Source: RNAcentral